RNAcentral lists this ribosomal RNA (567 nucleotides) under uncultured candidate division MSBL6 bacterium. RNAcentral describes it as "bacterial SSU rRNA". It matches the Rfam family "Bacterial small subunit ribosomal RNA", at positions 505 to 1062 of the family's 1533-position model. The record is from RNAcentral.
GUGCCAGCAGCCGCGGUAAGACGAAGGAUGCAAGCGUUAUCCGGAAUUACUGGGCGUAAAGGGUGUCUAGGCGGUUGAGUAAGUCUCCUGUGAAAGCCCUCAGCUUAACUGAGGAACGUCAGGUGAAACUGCUUGGCUUGGGUGUAGGAGAGGAGAGUGGAACUCACAGAGUAGCGGUGGAAUGCGUAGAUACUGUGAGGUACCCCGAUGGCGAAGGCAACUCUCUGGCCUACUACCGACGCUGAAGCACGAAAGCGUGGGUAGCAAAGGGGAUUAGAUACCCCCGUAGUCCACGCCCUAAACGAUGUUCACUUGGUGUCGGUCGCAUAUACAGAUCGGUGCCGGAGCUAACGCGUUAAGUGAACCGCCUGGGGAGUACGGUCGCAAGGCUAAAACUCAAGAGAAUUGACGGGUCCCCGCACAAGCGGGGGAGCACGUGGUUUAAUUCGAUGAUAAGCGAAGAACCUCACCUGGGCUUGACAUGCUAGUAGUAGGAACCGGAAACGGUACCGACCUUGCCUUCGGGUAGGGAACUAGUACAGGUGAUGCAUGGCUGUCGUCCACUCG